Molecule: long non-coding RNA, 640 nt
Organism: Bos taurus (domestic cattle)
Lineage: Eukaryota; Metazoa; Chordata; Mammalia; Artiodactyla; Bovidae
Source: Ensembl
CUGCAUUAGAAUUUUGAAGUAGUUCGUUGCUUAAAGAGAUCAAACUCCUGUGUUUAGAAUUUGCUUCUUUUAUGUGGGGAUUUGGAAAAGAGUCAAUAUGUUUCUAAAUCUACAUAAGGCAAGCGUUUGUUAGAAUAUCACUUCCUCCAAUUUCUCUAUCCCAAGCUGACCUAUUUAACUGACCACUCUCUAAACUUGUGUUUUCACUUAUUGUGAGAAGCACUUGACCAUUGAGAUGACUGUUAGCUACUAAUACUUGAAGAAAGAAAGAUACUUCAAACUUCAUUCUUUGCAGUAUCCAGAGCAGUGCUUCUCAACAUUGGUUACAGACAUGAAGAGAAAGGAGUUUGAUCAUUUGUGGCCUGUUUGACCAGUCAGCUUCACUCUGCUCUGAGCCCAGGCCCGUAUUUCUCAUUUCACCACACCCAUAAGUGCUUUCUGACUUGGAAAUGGAGAUUAAAUUUAGUGCUCCAUUCAUCCACUAAAUACACGAGUGUGUGCUAAGUCGUUUCAGUCAUGUCCAACUAUUUGCAACGCUAUGGACUGUAACCCACCAGGCACCUCUGCCAAUGGGAUUCUUCAGGCAAUAAUACUGGAAUGGGUUGCUGUGCUGUCCUCCAGGGGAUCUUCCUGAUCCAGG